UUUUCUUCUCCAUAAGUGGCUUUGACUCUGAAGACCACACCAUCUCGUAAACUAUGGCCAGGAGCUUUUGGCAAGGGUCGUAAAAUCUUUGGUUCCUCCUGAUUCAGGGAAUGCAGUUCUGCUUUACUAUAAGUUCUCCUCAGCUCCAGGACGGGGUCUUCUAUUGCUAAAGAAGAUCCAGUAUUCAGGCCAUUGUUGGUGGUAAGCUGCUUUUCUUCAUUGGAACAAUAGAUGGCUGAACCAGAAUUCUGACUGCUCGAAGAGGACUGAGAUUUUGAAUCUGUGCCUCUGGGACUGAGCAGG
RNAcentral lists this unclassified non-coding RNA (303 nucleotides) under Hevea brasiliensis (rubber tree). Lineage: Eukaryota; Viridiplantae; Streptophyta; Magnoliopsida; Malpighiales; Euphorbiaceae. The record is from RNAcentral.